UACAGAGGUGGCAAGCGUUGUUCGGAUUUAUUGGGCGUAAAGGGUCCGUAGGCGGCUUUUAAAGUCGGAUGUGAAAGCCCACAGCUCAACUGUGGAACUGCAUUCGAUACUCAAAAGCUAGAGUAUGAGAGGGGUAAAGGGAAUUCCCGGUGUAAGGGUGAAAUCUGCAGAGAUCGGGAGGAACACCAGUCGCGAAAGCGCUUUACUGGCUCAUUACUGACGCUCAGGGACGAAAGCUAGGGGAGCAAACGGG
Molecule: ribosomal RNA, 253 nt
Filed under: uncultured bacterium
Lineage: Bacteria
Description: partial 16S ribosomal RNA
Rfam family: Bacterial small subunit ribosomal RNA
Source: RNAcentral